UGGGGAAUUUUGGACAAUGGGGGAAACCCUGAUCCAGCCAUGCCGCGUGCGGGAAGAAGGCCUUCGGGUUGUAAACCGCUUUUGUCCGGGAAGAAAAGGCGCCGUCUAAUAAACGGCGUUCUUGACGGUACCGGAAGAAUAAGCACCGGCUAACUACGUGCCAGCAGCCGCGGUAAUACGUAGGGUGCGAGCGUUAAUCGGAAUUACUGGGCGUAAAGCGUGCGCAGGCGGUCCGUUGUGUCUGCGGUGAAAUCCCCGGGCUUAACCUGGGAAUGGCCGUGGAAACUGGCGGGCUUGAGUGUGGCAGAGGGGGGUGGAAUUCCGCGUGUAGCAGUGAAAUGCGUAGAGAUGCGGAGGAACACCGAUGGCGAAGGCAACCCCCUGGGCUGACACUGACGCUCAGGCACGAAAGCGUGGGGAGCAAACA
RNAcentral lists this ribosomal RNA (427 nucleotides) under uncultured beta proteobacterium. Its description in RNAcentral is "partial 16S ribosomal RNA". It matches the Rfam family "Bacterial small subunit ribosomal RNA", at positions 355 to 774 of the family's 1533-position model. The record is from RNAcentral. Lineage: Bacteria; Pseudomonadati; Pseudomonadota; Betaproteobacteria.